UACGUAGGGGGCUAGCGUUGUCCGGAAAUCAUUGGGCGUAAAGAGCGUGUAGGCGGCUCGGUAAGUCCGCUGUGAAAGUCGGGGGGCUCAACCCUCGAAUGCCGGUGGAUACUGUCGAGCUAGAGUGCGGAAGAGGCGAGUGGAAUUCCUGGUGUAGCGGUGAAAUGCGCAGAUAUCAGGAGGAACACCGAUUGCGAAGGCAGCUCGCUGGGACGUUACUGACGCUGAGACGCGAAAGCGUGGGGGAGCGAACAGG
Molecule: ribosomal RNA, 256 nt
Filed under: uncultured bacterium
Lineage: Bacteria
Description: partial 16S ribosomal RNA
Rfam family: Bacterial small subunit ribosomal RNA
Source: RNAcentral